CGUAGGCCUAACACAUGCAAGUUCGAACGGCAGCACAGGAGGAGCUUGCUCUCUGGGUGGCGAGUGGCGGACGGGUGAGGAAUACAUCGGAAUCUACUUUUUCGUGGGGGAUAACGUANGGAAACUUACGCUAAUACCGCAUACGACCUACGGGUGAAAGCAGGGGACCUUCGGGCCUUGCGCGAUUGAAUGAGCCGAUGUCGGAUUAGCUAGUUGGCGGGGUAAAGGCCCACCAAGGCGACGAUCCGUANCUGGUCUGAGAGGAUGAUCAGCCACACUGGAACUGAGACACGGUCCANACUCCUACGGGAGGCAGCAGUGGGGAAUAUUGGACAAUGGGCGCAAGCCUGAUCCAGCCAUACCGCGUGGGUGAAGAAGGCCUUCNGGUUGUAAAGCCCUUUUGUUGGGAAAGAAAUCCAGCCGGUUAAUACCUGGUUGGGAUGACGGUACCCAAAGAAUAAGCACCGGCUAACUUCNUGCCANCANCCGCGGUAAUACNAAGGGUGCAAGCGUUACUCNGAAUUACUGGGCGUAAAGCGUGCGUANGUGGUCNUUUAANUCUGUUGUGAAAGCCCUGGGCUCANCCUGNUAACU
RNAcentral lists this ribosomal RNA (594 nucleotides) under soil bacterium SI03. Its description in RNAcentral is "partial 16S ribosomal RNA". It matches the Rfam family "Bacterial small subunit ribosomal RNA", at positions 41 to 622 of the family's 1533-position model. The record is from RNAcentral.